Long non-coding RNA from Brassica oleracea var. oleracea, 613 nucleotides. RefSeq lists it as uncharacterized. The transcript has 3 exons. Lineage: Eukaryota; Viridiplantae; Streptophyta; Magnoliopsida; Brassicales; Brassicaceae. The record is from RefSeq and is a predicted model, not a curated record.
UCAGGAACUUUUAUUGACCUUUAUCCCCAUUUCUAAACACAUAUCUUAUUUUACGUUUUAUGCCCCAAAUAUUCCUGUUACAGGGAAAAAACUUCAAAAGCGGCCAUGGGCGAGUCACGGAUCGAAUGUGAGGAAUUCAAUUAUCGAUCUGGGCAGGAAAGUGUCAGAUGUGAAGGAUCUUCUUCAGGUCGAAAUGUAUGGUCCUUUCAUGGUGUUCCCACACGGUGCUGGUGUGGAUGUGGCAUCACUACUUAUGUGUCGAAGACCAGGAAGAAUCCCAAUCGCGAAUUUUAUAGGUGUAAAAUUGCAGUCAAGAAAGGGGGAACAACAUCUCUUCAAGUGGGUCGAUGAAUCUUGGACCGAGGAGAAACUUAUGGAGGAAGCGAGAAAGAGGUCAAUGGAGGAGGAAAUUGAAGGUCGUACAAUGCAUAGUAAUGAUAACCCUGAAGUAGUUGAAGCUUCGAAAGACCGUGGUUGUGUUGGAGUUAUUAAAUUUAUUUGUCCUAAAAUUUGGUAAGUCUUUGUUUGUUUAUGUAUGGAUAAAGAUUGUAGUUUUUGGUCCGUAGGUACCAUAACGCCAUUCUUCAAUUUAUGUAACACAAAUCUCGAACAU